AAGGGGCUGGAGAGAUGGCUCAGUGU
RNAcentral lists this non-coding RNA (26 nucleotides) under Cricetulus griseus (Chinese hamster). Lineage: Eukaryota; Metazoa; Chordata; Mammalia; Rodentia; Cricetidae. The record is from RNAcentral. RNAcentral also lists the same sequence under 1 other name.